GCAGGGAUGCCGGAGUGGCCAAACGGGGCAGACUCAAGAUCUGCUGGCUUAGUGCCUUCGCAGGUUCGAAUCCUGCUCCCUGCA
Molecule: transfer RNA, 84 nt
Filed under: Candidatus Woesearchaeota archaeon
Lineage: Archaea; Nanobdellati; Candidatus Woesearchaeota
Description: tRNA-Leu
Rfam family: tRNA
About the family: Transfer RNA (tRNA) molecules are approximately 80 nucleotides in length.
Source: RNAcentral